Molecule: ribosomal RNA, 253 nt
Filed under: uncultured bacterium
Lineage: Bacteria
Description: partial 16S ribosomal RNA
Rfam family: Bacterial small subunit ribosomal RNA
Source: RNAcentral
UACGUAGGGUGCGAGCGUUAAUCGGAAUUACUGGGCGUAAAGCGUGCGCAGGCGGCGCGUUAAGACAGGUGUGAAAGCCCCGAGCUUAACUUGGGAAUUGCGCUUGUGACUGGCGUGCUGGAGUGUGGCAGAGGGAGGUGGAACUCCACGUGUAGCAGUGAAAUGCGUAGAGAUGUGGAGGAACACCGAUGGCGAAGGCAGCCUCCUGGGCCAGCACUGACGCUCAUGCACGAAAGCGUGGGGAGCAAACAGG